RNA transcript from Solea senegalensis (Senegalese sole), 2120 nucleotides. It is a transcript of the gene named 26S proteasome non-ATPase regulatory subunit 4-like, with no coding region annotated. NCBI's taxonomy places the organism in Eukaryota, Metazoa, Chordata, Actinopteri, Pleuronectiformes, Soleidae. The record is from RefSeq and is a predicted model, not a curated record. The transcript is spliced from 5 exons.
UUGAGUCUCCGUUACAGAUCGGGUAGCGAUAGAAAUUACUAUUAACCAGCAGGUUGGUAAAAUGAAAUACAAAUGUUUGCUUCAACUGAAGUAGAUGCAUUAAACGUAACGCAUUAUGAUCACAUUAGUUGAGUGUAAACACAAGGGUGUUCGUAAUUUUUGAGUGUGGAAAAGGAAAACGGACUGACAGACGUUAGCAAAGCAAGCUAGCAGAUGAACGCUGGGAUGUAGCUAGCAUUUAGCAGAGGCUCCCACUUGUUGCCGCAUGACAGUUAGGUUUGUCUUUCUGUUUGUUUUGCUUCGUGACACAUAUUUUUUUUUAUCGUUCGUAAACUGUUGAGCAGGGUAAACAACACAACGCGUAUCCUUUCUUUGAUCAGACACAUCGGAGCAUCGUGUUGUACCAGCUGCCACUUGCAGACAAAUAAGUCUAGAGUAACCUUUAUUUGUUCAGCUCUAAUUUGUAAUCUUUGUCUCUGGUUAUGCUUUUAAAAAGAACACAAUUAUAAGUAGAACUAAACCGCCACCAUUCUAAAUCAAGCAGAGAGAAACAAUUAAUCAGACUUUAUAUAUUGACAGUUGACAAUACUGCAAAGAUGAUCAUACAUUUCCAAGAGAUAUAUGUUUGAGAAAUGAGAUGAAAUGUAAUAUUAUGAAUGUUAUCUAGUAAAUCUCAAGUAAAAGGUGGUAAAAAAAAAAAAGAAAAGUACAUUUGUUUGCUGACCUAAAGCAUUAGUGGGUCCUGACCCAGACCCAGUCAGACCAUUCACACACUUUACAAUACAAUACUGUGCAAAGGUUUUAGGCAGUUGCUGUUUGGUGGGAAUGUUAUUACAAAUAAAUUUGAAUAGUUUUUUUUCUUCAUUUAACAUAAUGCAAAGUGAGCUAACAGAAGAACUAUCUAAAUCAAGAGACCAUGCUUUCUCUUCAAAACAGCAUCAGUUCUUAGAGGUACGCUUGCACAAAGUCAGGGAUUUUGCAGGAUUAUUACCAGGCAUAUGAUUAAUCAGUUUUAAUAAACUGGUUCUAAUGAUCGUCAUUUUCAUUUGUAGGUUGAAACACAGUCAUUAACUGAAAUAGCUGUUUAAGAGGCUCAAAACUGGGUGUAAGGAACCGCCAGACUCUGCUACCAAGGUGAGACUGUGGAAGACCGUUUCAUGUCACAGGUCCUACGCCAUGGCAAGACUGAAUACAGCAACAAGACACAAGGUAGUUGUACUACAUCAGCAAGGUCUUUCCCAGGCAAAGAUUUCAAAACAGACUGGGGUUUCAAGAUGUGCUGUUCAAGCUCUUUUGAAGAAGCACAAAGAAACAGGCAAUGUUGAGGACCGUAGGCGUAGUGGUCGGCCAAGGAAACUUAGUGUGGCAGAUGAAAGACACAUCAUGCUUACUUCCCUUCAAAAUCGUAAGAUGUCCAGCAGUGCCAUCAGCUCAGAACUGGCAGUAACCUGUGGGACCCAGGUACACCCAUCUACUAUUCGGAGAAGUCUGGGUCGCAGAGCAGCUGUAGCAUUAGCUGCUGAAGCUGGCAUUUUCUCUCCCACUGAAGAGGAGUCUGAGGAUGCCCUGUUGAAGAUGUCUGUUUUACAUACGGACUCCACCACACCUGCUUUAUCAGAUGACAGCCGCAUUACUGAGGAUGAAUCAAAAUCAGGUUUAUUGCCAGAAGAUUAACAGAAGAUAAAAGACUGUACAAAUUGUGCAAUCUGCAAUUGGGAGUGCAGAGCAGCAGUUUGAUGUCAGUAAGGUGCUCAGGACAUGGACACAGGAACUGACAUGGAUUGCAGUGAGACAAAGAAUGAAGAGGACAACAAUGUUAUUCAAGAUCCAAAAGUCCUUCCCAGUGAUCUGGAAAACCUUCUUGUAGUCGACCCUAACAACGAGGUCAGACGGACGAGCCCCAAACCAGAGACCAAGAAGGACGAGGAGAAAAAAAUAAGUAAAGAGCAUUUGAGUAAAUGAAGAAUAGAGACCUGAGAAUUAAACUGCAUUUGCUAUUCACAUUAACAAUAUUACAGUCCUCAACAUGGGGAAUGUUUUCUUCAGCUUUUGUUUAUAUUUAUGUUUUGCUCUUUGUGUGUGUCAAAUAUGUGCUUUACAUCUUUUUUAAUAAAAAUACU